Molecule: ribosomal RNA, 228 nt
Filed under: uncultured bacterium
Lineage: Bacteria
Description: partial 16S ribosomal RNA
Rfam family: Bacterial small subunit ribosomal RNA
Source: RNAcentral
UACGAAGGGGGGCUAGCGUUGCUCGGAAUUACUGGGCGUAAAGCGCACGUAGGCGGCUUUCUAAGUCGGGGGUGAAAUCCUGGAGCUCAACUCCAGAACUGCCUUCGAUACUGGAGAGCUUGAGUCCGGGAGAGGUGAGUGGAACUGCGAGUGUAGAGGUGAAAUUCGGUAGAAUAUUCGCAAGGACACCAGGUGGCGAAAGGGCGGCCUCAGCUGGCCCGGUGACUG